GUUUCCGUAGGUGAACUUGUGGAAAGAUCAUUG
This 33-nucleotide ribosomal RNA is filed under the name Selenicereus undatus. Its description in RNAcentral is "Hylocereus undatus partial 18S ribosomal RNA". Lineage: Eukaryota; Viridiplantae; Streptophyta; Magnoliopsida; Caryophyllales; Cactaceae. The record is from RNAcentral. RNAcentral also lists the same sequence under 3 other names.